RNAcentral lists this ribosomal RNA (416 nucleotides) under Isatis tinctoria. RNAcentral describes it as "eukaryotic LSU rRNA". The stretch from base 276 to 416 matches the Rfam family "Eukaryotic large subunit ribosomal RNA", at positions 1 to 141 of the family's 3401-position model. The record is from RNAcentral. Lineage: Eukaryota; Viridiplantae; Streptophyta; Magnoliopsida; Brassicales; Brassicaceae.
UGCAGAAUCCCGUGAACCAUCGAGUCUUUGAACGCAAGUUGCGCCCUAAGCCUUCUGGCCGAGGGCACGUCUGCCUGGGUGUCACAAAUCGUCGUCCCCCCAUCCUCUCGAGGAUAGUGGACGGAAGCUGGUCUCCCGUGUGUUACCGCACGCGGUUGGCCAAAAUCCGAGCUAAGGACGCAAGGAGCGUCCCGACAUGCGGUGGUGAAUUAAAACCUCGUCAUACCGUCGGCCGUUCCUGUCCUAAUGCUCUCGAUGACCCAAAGUCCUCAACGCGACCCCAGGUCAGGCGGGAUCACCCGCUGAGUUUAAGCAUAUCAAUAAGCGGAGGAAAAGAAACUAACAAGGAUUCCCUUAGUAACGGCGAGCGAACCGGGAAGAGCCCAGCUUGAAAAUCGGACGUCUUCGGCGUUCGA